CAUGUAGCGAAUCACUUUCCAGCCAUAGUAGUGUACCCGCAAUGCGGCUCACUCCUCAUGAGGGAGCCUGUUUCAUUGUUAGAGCACAACCUAAUUAAGUUAUUGGUUCUGAAACUGAAGCAGACUUACAAAGGACUUUUUAUGAACUUCAGUUAUGCAAAGCAAGAUUUAACAAAUUUUAUUCCCUGAAGCUCUAAUCACGACCAUGAUCAUGAGUGAUUCAAGCAAAUAACCUGGUACUGAGCACUCCAUUUGUACCAGGCACUGUCCUAAAUGCUUUAUAUGUGUAGAACUAACAUAACUCUCACAAUAACCUUAUGAGGCAGCUGCAAUUAUCCGCAUUUUAUAGAUAAGGGAACUGAAGCACAGAGAGACUUUCACAAUAUUAUACAACUAAUGAUUGUGGCAGAGCCAGGAUCCAAAACCUGUGCUCUUAAGUACUUAUAUUGCAGUGUGACCCAUGUAUAUACCUAUUGUAUAUAAGCAAACAGAUUGAUGUCUGUUUAUGAGUUAUGGUAUGAAAUAAUUUUUAGUGCUUAUUAUAAAAUUAUAGUACCUUUUUUUAAAAAAUGUGUUUGCUUACUAUACCUAAAGAAUAAACUUUACUAAAUGGUUAAAAGUAACCUCAACCAACCAGAUGAGGGAAUUAUACUGAAAAUAAAUGUUCAGUAAAUGAAUGAAAGAAAUGAGUAGUAGUUUUAAAUACAGAGCAAACUGAAACUUUAUAGGGUUAUCAUUUAAAUCUAUCUGUGUGUUAAAAUCAUGCAUGUCUCCAAUUGCUGGACAUUUAGAUCAACUCCAGUU
This 804-nucleotide long non-coding RNA is filed under the name Homo sapiens (human). RNAcentral's name for it is "HSALNT0194784". The record is from RNAcentral. Lineage: Eukaryota; Metazoa; Chordata; Mammalia; Primates; Hominidae.